Long non-coding RNA from Telopea speciosissima, 167 nucleotides. RefSeq lists it as uncharacterized. The record is from RefSeq and is a predicted model, not a curated record. Lineage: Eukaryota; Viridiplantae; Streptophyta; Magnoliopsida; Proteales; Proteaceae. The transcript is spliced from 4 exons.
AUAAUUGGUGGGGAAAGAGAGAGAAGGAUGGAGGAUACAAAUCCUUCACUAUUAUCAAACUUUGAAUUUAUAUUAAUUUGAUGAAAUCCAGAUCUUCUGGUUAAGGGGAAACAGAAACUGCCCACCGCUACCGAAUGUUAGCUUGCUUGCUUUAAGAGUUGAUAGAG